GACGAACGCUGGCGGCGUGCUUAACACAUGCAAGUCGAACGGAAAGGCCCUGCUUUUGUGGGGUGCUCGAGUGGCGAACGGGUGAGUAACACGUGAGUAACCUGCCCUUGACUUUGGGAUAACUUCAGGAAACUGGGGCUAAUACCGGAUAGGAGCUCCUGCUGCAUGGUGGGGGUUGGAAAGUUUCGGCGGUUGGGGAUGGACUCGGGGCUUACCAGCUUGUUGGUGGGGUAGUGGCUUACCAAGGCUUUGACGGGUAGCCGGCCUGGGAGGGUGACCGGCCACAUUGGGACUGGGGUGCGGCCCAGACUCCUACGGGAGGCAGCGGUGGGGAAUAUUGCACAAUGGGCGGAAGCCUGAUGCAGCAACGCCGCGUGCGGGAUGACGGCCUUCGGGUUGUAAACCGCUUUCGCCUGUGACGAAGCGUGAGUGACGGUAAUGGGUAAAGAAGCACCGGCUAACUACGU
Molecule: ribosomal RNA, 467 nt
Filed under: uncultured bacterium
Lineage: Bacteria
Description: partial 16S ribosomal RNA
Rfam family: Bacterial small subunit ribosomal RNA
Source: RNAcentral